CUCGUUUCGGGCAAAAGGCGACAUUCCCAGUUGGUGUCUUACGUCGCCUUUCGUGUGCGGCUUGGAAAGGGCCUGGCAGCCAAUGCGGGCCUUUUAGCAGACCCUCAUACCUUUUCCUAAUGGGGCCUCUUCUGAGUGAAACUUCAUGAUAGGAGCGGAAUCUAAGUAUACUUACUCAAAAGGUUAGAGGAGUGCUCACAUCAUUGAUAAAGAAAGUAGGGAACUGUAAACAAGGCAGCAGACUAUCUCCACUGUGAAGGUGAAGAACAAAGAAGACCAAAGAUGCGACCUGAUUGCAGCUCCACCCAGCACCUCUUCAUCUAUUCAUAUUUGCCUGUUAUUCUGUGCAGGAGAUAGACAAGAGGCCUGAAGAAGAUCCCAGCCUGAAUCAUCUCCCUGGGAUAACCUUUUACAUUUUAACAUCUAGCUUUAUGAAGAGGUCUAAAGAACUUAAAAGUUUGCACAUACUUUUAUGUUUAAUUGGUCCUAA
Sphaerodactylus townsendi is the source of this 490-nucleotide long non-coding RNA. RefSeq lists it as uncharacterized. The transcript is spliced from 4 exons. The record is from RefSeq and is a predicted model, not a curated record. Lineage: Eukaryota; Metazoa; Chordata; Lepidosauria; Squamata; Sphaerodactylidae.